GGUUGACCUCGGAUCAGGUAGGGAUACCCGCUGAACUUAAGCAUAUCAAUAAGCGGAGGAAUCCCGCGGCCAUGGCGGCCGGGAGCAUGCGACGUCGGGCCCAAUUCGCCCUAUAGUGAGUYCGUAUUA
This 129-nucleotide ribosomal RNA is filed under the name uncultured Aspergillus. RNAcentral describes it as "partial 28S ribosomal RNA". Lineage: Eukaryota; Fungi; Ascomycota; Eurotiomycetes; Eurotiales; Aspergillaceae. The record is from RNAcentral.